RNAcentral lists this ribosomal RNA (373 nucleotides) under uncultured bacterium. RNAcentral's name for it is "bacterial SSU rRNA". It matches the Rfam family "Bacterial small subunit ribosomal RNA", at positions 525 to 896 of the family's 1533-position model. The record is from RNAcentral.
ACAGAGGUCUCAAGCGUUGUUCGGAUUUACUGGGCGUAAAGGGUGUGUAGGCGGCCGGGUAAGUCCAAAGUGAAAUCUCUAAGCUCAACUUAGAAAAUGCUUCGGAUACUAUCCAGCUAGAGGGUCGGAGAGGAGAUUGGAAUUCUCGGUGUAGCAGUGAAAUGCGUAGAUAUCGAGAGGAACAUCAGUGGCGAAGGCGGAUCUCUGGGCGAAUCCUGACGCUGAGGCACGAAAGCUAGGGUAGCAAACGGGAUUAGAUACCCCGGUAGUCCUAGCUGUAAACGGUGCGCACUUGCUGUGAGCGGAAUCAACCCCGCUCGUGGCGUAGCUAACGCGAUAAGUGCGCCGCCUGGGAAGUACGGUCGCAAGAUUA